AUGCACCGACUCCGGCGCCCAGUCCGACUGCGGCGGAGGUUCCCGCCGCCGCGGCUGGUGCUGCAAACCAGUCUGCCUUCCCUGCAGGGCGAGCGGGGAUGGAGCAAGUGGGUGGAGAGAAAAGGGGAAGAGCCUGGGCGGCCGGCGGGCGGGGCCUGCAGCCUCCCCGAGCCGCGGCAGCCGGCGCGCAGACUGCUCUCUCCGCGCCUCGCUCCGACUCAGGCGCGCACGGCGCCGGGACCCGCGCCCGAGCCCGAGCCCGAGCCCGCGCCCGCGCCCGAGCCCGAGCCCGGGGGCGCCGCUGCUCCUCCGCCCCCGGCCCCCGCUCCCCGCCGAGUGCGCUGCGCGGAGGCCGCGCAGGGCAGCGGAGCGCUCCGGCUGCUGGGGCUUUUCGGCUGCCGCUCGCUGCUCCGUCUGGCCGGAGGACUGGCGGGGAAGGAAGGGGAAAGCGGCGACACACACACUCGCCGCGGCGCGCGCGCACUGCACACUCGCAGCCGCGCGCCCCCCGCCGAGGCGCGUCCCGGGCGAGUUUGGCCCCGCGGCCCCGGCCCCGCACCUGCCGGCUCCGCACGCCGCGCCCCGCCCCCGCCCCCGCCCCGCCGACCGUCGGGCCCCUUCCGCCCCUCGCCGGCACAGAUCUCCCGGCGCCGGGCGGGGGGGAAGCAACUACAUCCAGAUAACUUGCGGACUGUGGCGCAACUGGUCUCGACAGCAGAGGCGCCCGAAUGCUGCCCGGGUGAGGAACUUGGGAAGGAAAACAGUUUCAACAAUGAAUAGGUCACCCAUCAUGACUGACUACAGAUGACUUGCCAUUUCAUUUACAAAGGGGUGUCCUACAAAGUAAAAAAAAAAAGAGAGAGAGACCAUCUCAUCCUAUGUCCUGCAUUCAUGCCAGCUAGCCAACCCCUCACUAAGGUGGUUUCUUCAAACACCCUUCAAAGUCGCUCUUGAAGUUUUUUGGAUUUCAAAGCUUCCAAGUCUUAGAGGUAAAAUGACUGACACGGCAUUUGUUAGUCCACAGUUGGUUAAAGAAAAUCCACCUCUUACUGUCAUUAGCACAUACUAAGUUGGAGACACAAACGUACCCUAGUAGAGAAAUGGGCUAGAGCUUCAUAUAGAUAAUUCACCAAAGAGAUGCAAAGAACCAAAGAAACGUGACAAAGAUGUCUGUCCUUACCAUGAAUCAUACAAAUGCAAAAUAAAAUGAUAUUUUUGCC
Molecule: long non-coding RNA, 1220 nt
Filed under: Zalophus californianus (California sea lion)
Lineage: Eukaryota; Metazoa; Chordata; Mammalia; Carnivora; Otariidae
Description: lncRNA (ENSZCAG00015016862.1)
Source: RNAcentral